GAUGAACGCUGACAGAAUGCUUAACGCAUGCAAGUCUUUGGCGAAGCUGUGCUCGCACAGCCUAGCCAAGGCGGACGGGUGAGUAACGCGUAAGGAACUUGCCCUGCAGUCAGGGAUAACAGACGGAAACGACUGAUAAGACCUGGUAAAGUCAGGCGGACUCAUGUCCAGCCUGAUGAAAAGAGAUGCUGCAGGAGAGCCUUGCGUCCUAUUAGCUUGUUGGUGGGGUAACGGCCCACCAAGGCGAUGAUAGGUAGCCGGCCUGAGAGGGUGGACGGCCACAAGGGGACUGAGAUACGGCCCUUACUCCUACGGGAGGCAGCAGUGGGGAAUAUUGGACAAUGGGGGCAACCCUGAUCCAGCAAUUCUGUGUGCACGAUGAAGGUUUUCGGAUUGUAAAGUGCUUUCAGCAGGGAAGAAAAAAAUGACGGUACCUGCAGAAGAAGCGACGGCUAAAUACGUG
RNAcentral lists this ribosomal RNA (463 nucleotides) under uncultured bacterium. RNAcentral describes it as "partial 16S ribosomal RNA". It matches the Rfam family "Bacterial small subunit ribosomal RNA", at positions 28 to 507 of the family's 1533-position model. The record is from RNAcentral.